UGAGAAUUAGAACCUAACAGUUGUUAGGGUGAUGUUGCUUUUAAGCUUCUGCAUAUUUAGUUUUGGUUUUGUUUAUUUGUGUGUGUAUAGUUUAAAGUAACUCUGAAAAGUCAACAAGUUUAUUUGAUCAAUUAAUCACAUGAGUUCUCAUAUUUGAAAUAGCUGUGCUGUAGUUACCUAUAUUUUCAGGAAGUUUAAUGUAGGGUGGACCACAUGGACAGCUCCUUAGUGGUCAAUGAAAAUAAGGACAUUUUCUUCAGCGUCACUAAUGAUCUGUCACAACAUCAGACGUGAGUCUCCAUAUCCUCCUCUGUAGGUUUUUCUGUGUCCUACCAAGCACACAUCAGUUUUCUCACAUGACAAUCUUUGUGUGGAGUUCACUUCACUGACGGAAGAACGUGGAAAAUAUGUCUUUGUCUUAUAUUCUUCUCAUUUAUGUUGCCGGAGUUGCGGUAAAAGAAAGUUGUGCAGAUUCGGUUCCCACUCCCACUAUUGUAUUUUCCCCUGAUUACAUCAAUGUAGCUACACCUGUUACAGUACGCUGUGAGUCACCAGAAGGCACAGAGUGCAUUUUCUACAGAGAUCACGACCCCAAACCUAUAAGAACAGUGGAUUACAAGCAGGGUGCUUGCCAGUUCAAGUUGUUAUGGAAUGAGUUCAAAAAGUGGAACAAGACUGAAGUAGAUCUCAGCUGUGUAAUUCUACAGAACAGAGAAGAUAAAACGAUCAAAACCUCAAAACCUAGUGAUGCUCGAAGACUUAAUGUGGGUGAUCCAAUUGGAAUGCCCAGUGUUCAUGUGGAGAAGAUCGGGAAUUACCUCAAUCUUCGAUGUGAGUGCAAGGCUGGCACCUCAUGCUACUUUUAUCUGAACAAUGGUGACUCACACUUCAAAAAACUACCCUACAAAGACAAUGUCUGUGUGGGGAGAGUGGCAGAAGAGGAACUGCAGAGGAAGAGGAGCAGUGCUGGAGAGAUCUUCAUCACCUGUGCUGUGGAGCUGUUGGUAGAGGGUGAAGAUACUGUGACAUCACAGCGUAGUGAAUCCCUCGGUAUCACCAUAGAUGUUGUAAAUCCUCCAGGAGCUACUAGUUCCCCAUCAGCGUUCAGUUUAAUCAUAACUGGUCAGGAGGAGACAAGCAGCAAUGUCACAGCCCAAGGAAGAGUUUCUUCAGGUCCAGUGUUCCUCGUCAUCAUCAGUCUGGGUGCUGGUUCCCUUUUCCUGGUUCUGCUAGCUGGGUCUGUGCUGUGUGUUCUCCAACGCAAUUGUGGUGCGUGCUUUCAGAUAGGUUUAGUCAUAACACAUUCUUAUUAUGUUCCAAAUGCUACUUUGAGUUAUUUUCAAAAUUUCUAAAUUAUCUCUAUGCAUAUUUUGAAGGGGUUCAAUGCAGGCCUGUAAAUACUGGGUAAGACUGGUGUAUUCAUUUUAGAUUCACAAUAUAUUUUCUUUAUUCAUGCACAGCUAUAUCUUUCUGACUGUACUGCAUUGUCUCGACAGAAGCCCACCUGAGCAGCAAGACCAAACCCCACCUUGUGUCUAUUCUGUCAUCACAAAGCCGUCUAGGGAUGAGGAAGAGGACAGUAGUCUGCAAUACGCUACUGUGACAUCUACCAGUGACCAAGCUAGUCUUCAAUAUGCAACAGUGACAUCUACCGGUGGCAGGUUUGGGACCUUCAAAGAACUCCUAACCAUGAUCCAAUGAAUGUGCUGCUGGUGCCUUAUGUGGGACAAGGAGAAUCAGACAAACACUUGGAUUACCCAGGAGAAGAAGCACCAGAUCUCAGUAAGCCUGAAGUUUGUGACCCUGACUGAAGUGGUUGAGCUGAGCUGCGAGUCCUCUGCCCUUGUAGAGGGUCAGCAGUGAUUGUUCUAUGUGGAUUCUAAACUCAAGGAGCUUGGUCGCUCAAAUGCCAGCCACAACCAAUGCUCCCUCCCAGUUAAGGGGUCAGAGCUGCUUGGGUGGAAGCCAGAGGGCUGUGGUCAAAAGUCACCAUCCAGUGUCAUUACGAAAAGGACUCACCUCCCAGCAAAAAUGUCACAGUGGUGGUGUGGAACACAAACAUGCUGACUAAGUACAUCAUCGGAUGUAUGGCCCUGAUAGGAUUCAUGAUUCUACCUGCAGUAUUCAUAUUCUACAUCACCUGUCUCCUCUCACUGAAAGCAAAGAGGAACGGACACCUCGUCAUAACAAGAUCGCCCAGUGACCAGACAUUGCCAGGAGACACUACCGUAACAAGAAGGUGAAGAUGAUUGGUGCUAUGCCACCGUGUCCCAUGCUGGUGCUCCUCCAUCCUACUGAGUCAAGUUUGAGCAAGGCCAUGACUAUGCCACAAUGGUCAUAUACUGACCAGCAUGUGCCGACCUGAAAGGACAUGAAAGGACUUCCAC
This 2387-nucleotide long non-coding RNA is filed under the name Salmo salar (Atlantic salmon). RNAcentral's name for it is "lncRNA (ENSSSAG00000086898.1, ENSSSAG00000097853.1)". Lineage: Eukaryota; Metazoa; Chordata; Actinopteri; Salmoniformes; Salmonidae. The record is from RNAcentral.